This 484-nucleotide long non-coding RNA is filed under the name Manihot esculenta (cassava). RNAcentral describes it as "long non-coding RNA (MESC_LNC007646)". Lineage: Eukaryota; Viridiplantae; Streptophyta; Magnoliopsida; Malpighiales; Euphorbiaceae. The record is from RNAcentral.
UUGUGAUGAUGAUGAGCUAAGCUUGGUGCAUGGUAGUCUUUCUAUCUCUGUAGUCACUGUAUGGUACCAUAGCAGGUAUCACUCUUCGAGUGCAUACAGACAGAGCAUGCAUAGUCCAGGCUUAGUGGAAGUUAUACAGAAAGAAAAGAUAGUCAAGCAGAAAAAAACAAAAAGAGUAAGUAACAGUUUUAAGCUUAAGUAUGAUCAUGUAUGGGAUUUAUCAGGUACACAGAGUUGACAGUAGGCUUACUACGGGUCCCGGCGGCCUUAAGCCGAUCUGGAUCCUAGUGCCGGUGAUGGUCCGGUAAGCGGGCUGUUACAGUAGCAUGGGGUCCUGGUCUUCCUGUCUUGGACUAAUUGGGUCAUCCAACAUUCACCCACAUCAACAACAAUUGAUGCAAUGCGGCAGAUUCGUGAAACUAAUGCAAUCAUCCUAUUGCAUAAUCAUGAUGCAUGAAACAUGAUAAAACAUUUAAUUUAAAAG